Cyprinodon variegatus (sheepshead minnow) is the source of this 1256-nucleotide long non-coding RNA. RefSeq lists it as uncharacterized. The record is from RefSeq and is a predicted model, not a curated record. The transcript is spliced from 3 exons. Lineage: Eukaryota; Metazoa; Chordata; Actinopteri; Cyprinodontiformes; Cyprinodontidae.
UAAAAAUGGUCCAGAAAUCCGCAGUGAACGUCUACACAAUCACUUCAGGGGAGACAUUUGGCGCUGAUGAAGAACUGCUGAGGGAACUGAAGAAGAGGAUACAGCUGAAUAUUAUACACUACCCGGAAAGCUGCAUCAUCAUUGUUUUUUGUCCUAUCAUCUCUCGUGUUGGGUCAGAUGUAGAAGCAGCUAUGAGUCUGGUGACAGCACAAAAUCAAAAAGUUAUUCUGGUUAUGAUGCACCACACCCGAGACGAAAGCUACUCCACAGCUGGGAUGGACUGGUCAAAAAGGUUUCCAAAUGUGAUCUUGAGUGUUCACGUCCUAUUCCAUGAGACCAUGCCAGGGUUACUGCCAUGUACAGAAAACAAGAUGGCGGUGAACAAAAUUAUAAAGGUGUUGCAUUACAACAGCGAAAAUAGCUGGAGAAGAAGGUUCCUUAAAAUUGGUGGAGGAUUAAUAGCAACAUAUUUUAUUUAUUUGUUAAUAAGGCAGAUGAUGACCUUAUAUUAAACUCAUAACUCUGCAAGCUUUGGUGAAUUUGUGGUGCAUACUUUUACUGAAUUCAUAUAAACACUUUCCUGUCAUGUAUUGUCAAAAUGCUUCGAACACAAACUAGCCAUUAUUAUUAAUAACUUUGACCCUUUAUGUCAGAAAAGUCAGGGGUCACAUACCAUGUUUACGCUCACAUCAUGCAGCUGAGAUUAACAAAAUUCUAAAGGUGUUGCAUUACAACAGCGAAAUUAGCUGGAGAAGAAGUUUCCUGAAAAUCGGUGUAGGAUUAAUAAUAACAUCCUUGGUUCUUGUUUUUUUUUAUAAAAAAAAUAACUCUUUCUUUUUCUCAAAAAAGGAAAACUUCUAAUUUGAACAAGGGUCCAGGUCAGUUGGCCCCAUCAAGAAUAUUUAUGACCUUCUGAUAACUGUACUUUGCAUUAUCCUUUAUGCUGAUACCUUUAAUUCAAUUUCCUAUUAUAUGAAUACCAUGUACUACACUCUUUACUUGUUCAUACUUUCAUAUGGGCCAGUGUACAGACAAAAUAAGGCAAAUGAUGACCUUAUAUUAAACUCAUAACUCUGCAGAAGCUUUGGUGAAUUUGUGGUGCAUACUUUUAUUGAAAUCAUAUAAACACUUUCCUGUCAUGUAUUGUUAAAAAGCUUCCAACACAGACUAGCCAUUAUUUAUAACUUUGACCCUUUAUGUCAGAAAAGUCAUGGGUCACAUAAUAUGUUUACUCUCACAUCAUGGAGCUGAGAUUG